ACGGGAGGCAGCAGUGGGGAAUAUUGGACAAUGGGGGAAACCCUGAUCCAGCGACGCCGCGUGAGUGAAGAAGUAUUUCGGUAUGUAAAGCUCUAUCAGCAGGGAAGAUAAUGACGGUACCUGACUAAGAAGCUCCGGCUAAAUACGUGCCAGCAGCCGCGGUAAUACGUAUGGAGCAAGCGUUAUCCGGAUUUACUGGGUGUAAAGGGAGCGUAGACGGCAUAGCAAGUCUGAUGUGAAAUCCCCGGGCUCAACCCGGGAACUGCAUUGGAAACUGUUAAGCUAGAGUGCAGGAGAGGUAAGUGGAAUUCCUAGUGUAGCGGUGAAAUGCGUAGAUAUUAGGAGGAACACCAGUGGCGAAGGCGGCCUGCUGGGCUUUAACUGACGCUGAGGCUCGAAAGUGUGGGGAGCAAACAGGAUUAGAUACCCUGGUA
RNAcentral lists this ribosomal RNA (434 nucleotides) under uncultured Lachnospiraceae bacterium. Its description in RNAcentral is "partial 16S ribosomal RNA". It matches the Rfam family "Bacterial small subunit ribosomal RNA", at positions 341 to 792 of the family's 1533-position model. The record is from RNAcentral. Lineage: Bacteria; Bacillati; Bacillota; Clostridia; Lachnospirales; Lachnospiraceae.